This 497-nucleotide ribosomal RNA is filed under the name uncultured bacterium. Its description in RNAcentral is "partial 16S ribosomal RNA". It matches the Rfam family "Bacterial small subunit ribosomal RNA", at positions 28 to 507 of the family's 1533-position model. The record is from RNAcentral.
GAUGAACGCUGGCGGCGUGCCUAACACAUGCAAGUCGAACGAACAGACCAGGAGCUUGCUCCUCUCAUGUUAGCGGCGGAGGUGUGAGUAACACGUGUAUAACCUACCUAUAAUACUGGGAUAACUUCGGGAAACCGGAUCUUAUACCGUAUAACCUGUUGCACCGCAUGGUUGAACAGUGAAAUACGGUCUUUCGGUCACUUAUAGAUGCAUCCGCGCCGCAUUAUCUAGUUGUUACGGUAACGGCCUACCAAGGCAACGAUGCGUAGCCGACGUGAGAGGGGGAUCGGCCACCCGGGAAGUGAGACGCGGUCAAUACGCCUACGGGAGGCAGCAGAAGGGAAUCGGCCGCAAUGGGCGAAAGCCUGACGCAGCAACGGGGCGUGAGUGAAGAAGGUCUUCGGAGCGUAAAACUCGGUUAUGAGGGAAGAACAACUGUGUAAGUAGAUGUGGACGGCUUGACGGUACCUAAUCAGAAAGCAACGGCUAACUACGUG